Long non-coding RNA from Carcharodon carcharias (great white shark), 375 nucleotides. RefSeq lists it as uncharacterized. NCBI's taxonomy places the organism in Eukaryota, Metazoa, Chordata, Chondrichthyes, Lamniformes, Lamnidae. The record is from RefSeq and is a predicted model, not a curated record. The transcript has 3 exons.
CUGACAGUAACUCUAAAUGAUCCAGUUGGUUAACUGCUAAUAUCACUGGUGUAUUUAAAUGGAGACUACUCAUAAGUUUAAUUGCUGAAAACUGAGAAGGAGAUGCUUUGAAUCCCAGCGUCAACAAUCAACCAUGCUAAACUGAAGCCUGAUAUUCUACCCCAUUUGGCCGCUAGUCUUGAGAUGAAGAUAAUACCCAGACAGUUAAAACUGUUGGAAAAGAUCGAGGAAAGAUAUUUCUCAUUAAAUCUAAUCAGAAAGGAAAUGGUCCAAGCUGAAAAUGUGCAGGAAACUGAGGAGACUCUGGAGAUGCUGGCUCUUCAGUUCACAGACAGCGAGUCUGAAAUAACACAGAAGAUCCUGGAAGGAUUUGGA